UGCGCCUUUUGUGUUUUCUCCUAAAGUACUGCAUAUUUUAUUUAUCCAAUUGCACAGUGUCAUUGAGAAAGUUGAAUCAUUAUUACAGACAUAUUUUUUUCCCCGAAUUUAUUCCGUAUUUAGAAAAAAAACAAAAGAUUUUUCACAGAUUUAAAAGUAAAAUUUCAAUUAGAUACAUUCACAAUCCCGAAUCACAAUUCUUGACCACCGUUGGGUAUUCUUUCACGAUCAUUUCUCUCGAUAAUUCGAAUGACACCCGUGAUCUGUAACCGAAGUGCGAGUGGAAGGAAAUCAAGGGGGCUUUGUAAAAUUUUGGGAAUGUUAAGGAGGACUAUCAAACUUGUAUUUAAUUCUUCUAAGCGGGAGGGGAAAGGGGCAAUGAAAUGUUUUCAAAAUAUUUUAGCAAUUCUGUAUACAAUGAACACACUAUUGUUUACGUGGAGAUGCAUACUCAAGAGACAACC
Molecule: long non-coding RNA, 464 nt
Filed under: Mytilus galloprovincialis (Mediterranean mussel)
Lineage: Eukaryota; Metazoa; Mollusca; Bivalvia; Mytilida; Mytilidae
Source: RNAcentral